Molecule: signal recognition particle RNA, 101 nt
Filed under: Streptococcaceae bacterium
Lineage: Bacteria; Bacillati; Bacillota; Bacilli; Lactobacillales; Streptococcaceae
Description: signal recognition particle sRNA small type
Rfam family: Bacterial small signal recognition particle RNA
About the family: The signal recognition particle (SRP) is a universally conserved ribonucleoprotein involved in the co-translational targeting of proteins to membranes.
Source: RNAcentral
UAAUAGCUAUGGAGCAAUGUGUAAUGAGGGAAGUGGGUCAGAUCCUGACGGAAGCAGCCCUAAGCUGAGUGCGCAUGUGCUCUUUUUUAUUGCUAAUUUUA